GAUAAGGUGGCUGAAUGGUUAAGGCAAUAGACAGCAAAUAUGUUUUUUAUGAGUUCGAAUCUCAUUCUUGUCU
Molecule: transfer RNA, 73 nt
Filed under: Winogradskyella sp.
Lineage: Bacteria; Pseudomonadati; Bacteroidota; Flavobacteriia; Flavobacteriales; Flavobacteriaceae
Description: tRNA-Cys
Rfam family: tRNA
About the family: Transfer RNA (tRNA) molecules are approximately 80 nucleotides in length. Their secondary structure includes four short double-helical elements and three loops (D, anti-codon, and T loops).
Source: RNAcentral